Long non-coding RNA from Astyanax mexicanus (Mexican tetra), 361 nucleotides. RefSeq lists it as uncharacterized. The transcript is spliced from 2 exons. Lineage: Eukaryota; Metazoa; Chordata; Actinopteri; Characiformes; Acestrorhamphidae. The record is from RefSeq and is a predicted model, not a curated record.
UGUCAAGUUUUAGAUUUAAGAAUAAGGGAUAUUUUCCUCUGUACUCCUAAAGCCGUCCCACCAGCCCAACGAAGGUUCAGUAUCCCUUACAUUUUAAGACGGGUUUACAAAAAAUCUAAAAUAACCACAUGUGAACCACUUACACACUACAAUUAGAUUAUCAGAAUCUGAACAUGUUGUGGACAUUCCUUCAUGUCAUUCUUUUAAUACAGCCAAAUUAAAAACACUUUUCUAUAUCUUUUUUUUUAAUUUAAGAUUUCAUGUCUUUUUUGUAAUAAAUGCACUCUUUUAUAUGAUAUAUUUUUUAUUUAUUUAAUGGAUUUAAAAUUGAACAAAGAGUGCACAAAUUCUGCAAAAUGAC